GGGAUUACCUCAGUAACGGCGAGUGAAGCGGUAAGAGCUCAAAUUUGAAAGCUGCCAACAGGUCGCAUUGUAAUUUGUAGAAGAUGCUUUGGGUGGAGGCCUAGUCUAAGUUCCUUGGAACAGGACGUCAUAGAGGGUGAGAAUCCCGUAUGUGAUUAGUGCCUUCCCCCGUGUAAAGCUCUUUCGACGAGUCGAGUUGUUUGGGAAUGCAGCUCAAAAUGGGUGGUAAAUUUCAUCUAAAGCUAAAUAUUGGCCAGAGACCGAUAGCGCACAAGUAGAGUGAUCGAAAGAUGAAAAGCACUUUGGAAAGAGAGUUAAACAGUACGUGAAAUUGUUGAAAGGGAAGCGCUUGCAAUCAGACUUGCAGGCGGUCGAUCAUCUGGGGUUCUCCCCAGUGCACUCSAUCGUCUUCAGGCCAGCAUCAGUUUUCGUGGUGGGAUAAAGGCUGUGAGAAUGUGGCUCUUCGGAGUGUUAUAGCUCACGGUGCAAUGCCGCCUACGGGGACUGAGGACCGCGCUUCGGCUAGGAUGCUGGCGUAAUGGUUGUAAGCGACCCGUCUUGAAACACGGACCAAGGAGUCUAACAUCUAUGCGAGUGUUUGGGUGUCAAACCCAUACGCGUAAUGAAAGUGAACGGAGGUGAGAACCCAUUAGGGCGCAUCAUCGACCGAUCCUGAUGUCUUCGGAUGGAUUUGAGUAAGAGCAUAGCUGUUGGGACCCGAAAGAUGGUGAACUAUGCGUGAAUAGGGUGAAGCCAGAGGAAACUCUGGUGGAGGCUCGCAGCGGUUCUGACGUGCAAAUCGAUCGUCAAAUUUGCGUAUAGGGGCG
This 827-nucleotide ribosomal RNA is filed under the name Septoria tanaceti. RNAcentral's name for it is "eukaryotic LSU rRNA". It matches the Rfam family "Eukaryotic large subunit ribosomal RNA", at positions 71 to 925 of the family's 3401-position model. Lineage: Eukaryota; Fungi; Ascomycota; Dothideomycetes; Mycosphaerellales; Mycosphaerellaceae. The record is from RNAcentral.